GCAGGCUCUGUCAAUCAUAGCCAGGGGAGGUGUGGCUAGGGCUGCAUAAACAGAAACAAAGUGAUUUAACUCCUAAAUGACAGUGAAUUGAGCAGUGAAAUUGCAGGGGAAUGAUCUAUACACUAAAACUGCUUUAUUUAGCUAAAGUUAUUUAGGUGACUAUAGUGUUCCUUUAACCCUCGGGUUAAAAAAAAUAUAUCAGAGCACAGUA
This is a non-coding RNA of Pelobates cultripes (western spadefoot toad), 211 nucleotides long. Lineage: Eukaryota; Metazoa; Chordata; Amphibia; Anura; Pelobatidae. The record is from the annotation of a GenBank genome assembly.